Molecule: ribosomal RNA, 783 nt
Filed under: uncultured bacterium
Lineage: Bacteria
Description: bacterial SSU rRNA
Rfam family: Bacterial small subunit ribosomal RNA
Source: RNAcentral
UNCAUGUGUAGCGGUGAAAUGCGUAGAUAUAUGGAGGAACACCGGUGGCGAAAGCGGCUCUCUGGUCUGUAACUGACGCUGAGGCUCGAAAGCGUGGGGAGCAAACAGGAUUGGAUACCCUGGUAGUNCACGCCGUAAACGAUGAGUGCUAGGUGUUAGGCCCUUUCCGGGGCUUAGUGCCGCAGCUAACGCAUUAAGCACUCCGCCUGGGGAGUACGACCGCAAGGUUGAAACUCAAAGGAAUUGACGGGGGCCCGCACAAGCGGUGGAGCAUGUGGUUUAAUUCGAAGCAACGCGAAGAACCUUACCAGGUCUUGACAUCCCUCUGAUCGCUCUAGAGAUAGAGUUUUCCUUCGGGACAGAGGUGACAGGUGGUGCAUGGUUGUCGUCAGCUCGUGUCGUGAGAUGUUGGGUUAGGUCCCGCAACGAGCGCAACCCCUAUUGUUAGUUGCCAUCAUUCAGUUGGGCACUCUAGCGAGACUGCCGGUAAUAAACCGGAGGAAGGUGGGGAUGACGUCAAAUCAUCAUGCCCCUUAUGACCUGGGCUACACACGUGCUACAAUGGCUGGUACAACGAGUCGCAAGCCGGUGACGGCAAGCUAAUCUCUGAAAGCCAGUCUCAGUUCGGAUUGUAGGCUGCAACUCGCCUACAUGAAGUCGGAAUCGCUAGUAAUCGCGGAUCAGCACGCCGCGGUGAAUACGUUCCCGGGCCUUGUACACACCGCCCGUCACACCACGAGAGUUUGUAACACCCGAAGUCGGUGAGGUAACCGUAAGGANCCA